GAUGAACGCUGGCGGCGUGCUUAACACAUGCAAGUCGAACGAAGACAUCUGAGUGCUUGCACUUGGAUGGACUGAGUGGCGGACGGGUGAGUAACGCGUGGGUAACCUGCCUUAUACAGGGGGAUAACAGUUGGAAACGACUGCUAAUACCGCAUAAGCGCACAGUAUCGCAUGAUACAGUGUGAAAAACUCCGGUGGUAUAAGAUGGACCCGCGUCUGAUUAGCUGGUUGGUGAGGUAACGGCCCACCAAGGCGACGAUCAGUAGCCGGCCUGAGAGGGUGAACGGCCACAUUGGGACUGAGACACGGCCCAAAACUCCUACGGGAGGCAGCAGUGGGGAAUAUUGCACAAUGGGCGAAAGCCUGAUGCAGCAACGCCGCGUGAGCGAUGAAGGCCUUCGGUCGUAAAGCUCUGUCCUCAAGGAAGAUAAUGACGGUACUUGAGGAGGAAGCCCGGC
Molecule: ribosomal RNA, 458 nt
Filed under: uncultured bacterium
Lineage: Bacteria
Description: bacterial SSU rRNA
Rfam family: Bacterial small subunit ribosomal RNA
Source: RNAcentral